AAAAAAGAAGGAAAUGGUCCCAGAAUAGUUUGGCUUUCAGAGAAGCCCAAGAAUCAAUGGCACCAGAGACACAGGAUCAUGAGGGAGUGGGCCAAGAAGGGGCUGUGGAAAAGCUGGUGAUGCUCUUUACUUCUGACUUGAAAAUCCUCGCUGCUCUUGAUGAGGAGGAGCCACGUGGCCGUGGGGUCUUUCAGCCUACAUUUUUUUCAAGUCUCACCCAGUUGUGGGGCAAAGGUGAGAGUGAAUUUGAGUCCAGGUGAACAAGUGCUCCUUACUGAGCAAAGGCUUCGUAUGAAUGACUUGCUUUGGCAUAUAGUGGAACUGUACUAUGUUAAGGAUAAUCUCUCUCUGGUUAUUGAUAAACAUUGUGAGACAACUGGCCAAAUCACUGGUGGGAUGCACAAUUUGCACUUUCAAUAUGGUAUCUAUGUAGCAGGCCAUGGUGGGCUUGAUGUCCCUUACCUAGAUGGAGCGCUCCCCAAUUUCUGUGAAUGUAUGGAGGAUGUGGUGUUUAACCAGAGGGAGAUCCUUACAUCCCUUAGAUCUUACCCUGGUUUUGAGAAGGUUUGUGAGGUGUCACAAGGGUACAGUGAUGAAUUU
This 600-nucleotide long non-coding RNA is filed under the name Equus asinus (donkey). RNAcentral describes it as "lncRNA (ENSEASG00005033565.1)". Lineage: Eukaryota; Metazoa; Chordata; Mammalia; Perissodactyla; Equidae. The record is from RNAcentral.